ACGGGACUCUUCGGAGUUCAGUGGCGGACGGGUGAGUAACGCGUGAGAAUCUGCCUAGAGGAUGGGGACAACCACGGGAAACUGUGGCUAAUACCCAAUGAGCGGAGACGUUAAAGAUUUAUCGCCUCUAGAGGAGCUCGCGUCUGAUUAGCUAGUUGGUGGGGUAAAAGCCUACCAAGGCGACGAUCAGUAGCUGGUCUGAGAGGACAACCAGCCACACUGGGACUGAGACACGGCCCAGACUCCUACGGGAGGCAGCAGUGGGGAAUUUUCCGCAAUGGGCGAAAGCCUGACGGAGCAAUACCGCGUGAGGGAGGAAGGCUCUUGGGUCGUAAACCUCUUUUCUCAGGGAAGAAGAAAGUGACGGUACCUGAGGAAUCAGCCUCGGCUAACUCCGUGCCAGCAGCCGCGGUAAUACGGAGGAGGCAAGCGUUAUCCGGAAUUAUUGGGCGUAAAGCGUCCGUAGGUGGCUCUUCAAGUCUGCUGUCAAAGAGUGGGGCUUAACUCCAGAAAGGCAGUGGAAACUGAAAGGCUAGAGAGCCGUAGGGGUAGAGGGAAUUCCCGGUGUAGCGGUGAAAUGCGUAGAGAUCGGGAAGAACAUCGGUGGCGAAAGCGCUCUACUGGACGGUAUCUGACACUGAGGGAUGAAAGCUAGGGGAGCGAAUGGGAUUAGAUACCCCAGUAGUC
This 687-nucleotide ribosomal RNA is filed under the name uncultured cyanobacterium. Its description in RNAcentral is "bacterial SSU rRNA". It matches the Rfam family "Bacterial small subunit ribosomal RNA", at positions 66 to 795 of the family's 1533-position model. The record is from RNAcentral. Lineage: Bacteria; Bacillati; Cyanobacteriota.